Pelobates cultripes (western spadefoot toad) is the source of this 1199-nucleotide non-coding RNA. The record is from the annotation of a GenBank genome assembly. NCBI's taxonomy places the organism in Eukaryota, Metazoa, Chordata, Amphibia, Anura, Pelobatidae.
CGCUGUACACCUCCCCGGUCACUCACCGUCCUGUGGGGCCGGUGCCUGCUGACGCCCAGUCCGGGGAAGCCCGCUGUCAGCCCCCUGCCACUCCUAGAGAGCAGCAGCAGCGGAGAUCUACCUGCAGUGGCCGCCAUCUCUCAACUGGAAGCGCUCCGGAGCCGGGCGCGCAGCGGCGCUCGCUGGGCGGGACUAAAACACGCCGCUCAAAACUCUCCAGACCAAUGGUGAGGGCGCAGGAAUAGAAAGUGGGCGUGGCGAUAUGCGACCGGCCCCGCCUUCCUGUGCUAUGUUUCCGGGACUGUAGUGAAAUGGGCGGAGAGUGACAGCUGUCAGUCAUCCCUGGGUCCCGCCCACAGGGGGUAGGAUACUAGACAUUACAGGCAGUCUCUAUAUUUAUACUGGAGGUGGAAUUUCUUCAGAGCUCAGCAGUGAAUAAGGCCUCUCAGGGCACUAAUGUAUAAAGUACCUAUAAUACAUACCGUACAUUAGCUUAGAGACUAUUCAACAUGUCUUCAUACCUGUCAUUUUAUUAUUUAAUUGACAGUAAAAAAAAUUUCCUCUGUUGAUAUUAAAAAGUGUCUGCAAAGCCCAUAAGCCCACAGAGAAAAACUAUUAUUUUAUUUAUAAGGGACAACUGCUCUGCAAUGAGCAAACAAAAAAACCUGUCAGCAAAUGACAACAAGCAAAUAUAAGCAAAUAAGAAGUGAGAGAGACUUUGCUGAAAUAAAUAAUUAACAGCAACACAAAUGCUGAAAUAAAUAAUUAAAGGCAACAUAAAUGGAAAUUAAACAUUAAAACGCAAAAGUGUUGUCCUAUAUAGCAAUCAGUAUUAAAAAAAAAUACACGGGCACUGAUAUAAUACGUAUGUUUGACACUUUUUUAAUUUGUAUCAUAAUUUAUAUAGUGCCAACAUAUUUCAUAGUGCUUUAACCCCUUAAGGACACAUGACAUGUGUGACAUGUCAUUAUUCCCUUUUAUUCCAGAAGUUUGGUCCUUAAGGGGUUAAAGGAAAACUGUAGUGGUUAUGGUAUCAGGAGAGCGCUGGCGUAAUCCCAUGGUAAGAUGUCAAACAGAUAUCAUAAUAACAUAUCUAAUUCCUGCUGAAUGGUGGUGUUAUAUCAGCUGCAUUCAAUAUUCUUUAGCCGCCGAAUCCAUUUAGGCUACAGAACAAAGAAGGUCCAUGCAAGACAGCGCUG